UACGUAGGGGGCAAGCGUUGUCCGGAUUUAUUGGGCGUAAAGAGCGUGUAGGCGGCCUAAAGGUCAGCUGUGAAAACUCGAGGCUCAACCUCGAGACGUCGGUUGAAACCAUCUGGCUAGAGUCCGGAAGAGGAGUGUGGAAUUCCCGGUGUAGCGGUGAAAUGCGCAGAUAUCGGGAAGAACACCCGUGGCCGAAGGCGGCUCUCUGGGACGGUACUGA
This 220-nucleotide ribosomal RNA is filed under the name uncultured bacterium. RNAcentral's name for it is "partial 16S ribosomal RNA". It matches the Rfam family "Bacterial small subunit ribosomal RNA", at positions 524 to 743 of the family's 1533-position model. The record is from RNAcentral.